UACGGAGGGUGCAAGCGUUAUCCGGAAUCACUGGGCGUAAAGGGCGCGUAGGCGGUCUGUUAAGUCCGAUGUCAAAUCCCGGGGCUCAACCCCGGAUCGGCGUUGGAUACUGGCAGGCUGGACGGCUGGAGAGGCGAGUGGAAUUACCAGUGUAGCGGUGGAAUGCGUAGAUACUGGUAGGAACACCCAUUGCGAAGGCAGCUCACUAAGCUGUUACUGACGCUGAGGCACGAAAGCGUGGGGAGCAAACAGG
Molecule: ribosomal RNA, 253 nt
Filed under: uncultured bacterium
Lineage: Bacteria
Description: partial 16S ribosomal RNA
Rfam family: Bacterial small subunit ribosomal RNA
Source: RNAcentral